Molecule: long non-coding RNA, 1836 nt
Filed under: Homo sapiens (human)
Lineage: Eukaryota; Metazoa; Chordata; Mammalia; Primates; Hominidae
Description: long independently transcribed non-coding RNA 680, transcript variant 2 (LINC00680)
Source: RNAcentral
GGAGGCGGUACUUCCUCCAGCAUUUGCCGCGAGUUAUUGGCAAGUUCCCCUGCAGUUGUUUGGGCUGUCGCUGUGGCUGGUUCUGCGGUGUGCGGCCAGCCAUGGAGCGCUCUGGGCCCAGCGAAGUGACAGGCUCAGACGCAUCGGGACCGGACCCGCAGCUUGUGGUCACCAUGGGCUUCACGGGGUUCGGGGUUCGGUAAAAAAGCUCACACAUUUGACUUGGAAGCAAUGUUUGAACAAACUCAAAGAACAGCUGUGGAAAGAAGUCACAAAACACUGGACCAGAUUACAGAGGGGUAUUGAUUUGCCUUGCCCCCGCCCCCACCAUCACAGUGUGUCCCUGUCCAGUGUUGGUGCUGUGUGGCAUUGCUUGUGUCCAUAGGAGUCCAUCAAGGCAGAGCGGCAGAGCGGCAAGCAGAGCGGCAAGGCAGGUCAGCUUCCGGCUCUUCCAGGCUGCAUGUCCCCCUCAAUAUCCUUUCAACCCAAUGGAAAUGGAUUGAAAGAGUGAAAGUCACUGGUCUCAAAGAAUCUACGGAAUUUAGCAUUUUGAAAAUCACAGAGCAAUUUUGGGUAGGUAUUCACAUGCACUAAAAAACCAGGCAAACAUCUGACUCCCAGGAUAAAGUGACUGAGAGCAGUAGAAGACUUGUUGAGCCUUAAGGAAUAAGAGGAAAAUUAUGUUAUGAAGUGCAGGAACAGCACAGACCCAGACGAGGGGAUGCAGCCCGGAGCCAGUAACCCGGCGCCUCCUCCUCCCCAGGGCGCAGCGCUGGCUGCUCCCCGGAUACCGUGAUCACACGUCCCAGGUCCUGAGAGCGCCUCAUAGGUAGACAGUUCUUUGGGACUUUUGGGACGCAGCACUUGAAGAGAGGUUUACCUAAACUUUCCUCCUGGGAGCCUGUCAUCAUUUGAAAGUAACAGAAGAAAGCUGUCAGGCUGAGGAAAGUUUCAACAGGCACUUGGUGAGAAUGGGAAGCAUCCAUUCAUUGGGAAAUCACGGGGACAGAGGAGGAAUUCACGGGAUCAGAGCACUGAGAAACUCCAGAGGCUUCUGGUUCACCGCCCUGAUUCCACAGAUGUGGGUCAGAGGCAGAGAUGGAAGUUGGAAUGGACAAGCCUGCCCUCUCCUCAGCUCUCCAUGGCUCUGUCCUCAGGCUGUUUCUGCAAUUUGACAUGAGGCCUGGCCCCAGGGAAACCAGUGGGGCCUCAUCUCCUCCCUGUGCUGCUCUGAGGUGGAGCCUUCUCAGGGUCAGUCCAGCUCUGGAGCCCCUCUCCAGCUCGGUCACCAAAGCUGUCUGGUCCCAGGGCAGUGUGGAGUGACAGGCACGCCAGCCAAUCCAAUCGGCCAUUUCAUACCCAAUGCAUGUGACUGAUAAAGAGAUAACACCCUGUCUCCAAGACACAGGCUUUACAUAAACAGCUUUAAUGACUUCUUCACUUAGGGACAAGACUCCUUAGUGGUGGAACCUCAGGCAUCCAUGCAGGAUGUAAGAAAGCUCCCGUAUAUACAUGAACUGAGAAGUGUGUAGAAGAGUAAAUACUGUAAUAGGUAAUAAAAUGUAUGUAUUUUUAUUUAUGUGCUACUUUGUCUUUCUCCCUCUCUGUGUAUAUACACAUACAUACAAAAAUGUAUUCAUUCUAUGGAAAACAUGAAAGAUGUAAUAUUCUUUACAUAUUUAAUUAAUGUAUUUUUUCUGAUCAUAUGAACACCACAAAUAUAAUUUUAUAAUUUUUUUACCUAACAAUAAGUCUUAAACAUAAAUAUACAUGGACAAUAUCAUAGUUUUUUUUUUAAUCAUAAUUAAAAUGGUUGUGAAACAAAAAAAAAAAAAA